AGGGUUCGAUUCUGGCUCAGGAUGAACGCUAGCGGCAGGCUUAACACAUGCAAGUCGAGGGGCAGCGCGGGGUAGCAAUACUCUGGCGGCGACCGGCGGAAGGGUGCGUAACGCGUGAGCAACAUGCCCGUGGCAGGGGGAUAAGCGAUGGAAACGUCGUCUAAGACCCCGUAACAACAGACCUCGCAUGGGGUUUGUUUGAAAGCUUCGGCGGCCACGGAUUGGCUCGCGUCCCAUUAGGCAGUUGGCGGGGUAACGGCCCACCAAACCGACGAUGGGUAGGGGUUCUGAGAGGAAGGUCCCCCACAAUGGAACUGAGACACGGUCCAUACUCCUACGGGAGGCAGCAGUGAGGAAUAUUGGUCAAUGGGCGGAAGCCUGAACCAGCCAUGCCGCGUGCAGGAAUAAGGCCCUACGGGUCGUAAACUGCUUUUGUACGGGAGCAAUAAGGGUCACGAGUGGCCUGAUGAGAGUACCGUACGAAUAAGCAUCGGCUAACUCCGUGCCAGCCGCGGC
Molecule: ribosomal RNA, 516 nt
Filed under: uncultured bacterium
Lineage: Bacteria
Description: bacterial SSU rRNA
Rfam family: Bacterial small subunit ribosomal RNA
Source: RNAcentral